Long non-coding RNA from Mus musculus (house mouse), 544 nucleotides. RefSeq annotates it as predicted gene, 30158. The record is from RefSeq and is marked validated. Lineage: Eukaryota; Metazoa; Chordata; Mammalia; Rodentia; Muridae. The transcript is spliced from 2 exons.
AGGAACAUGCAGGCACACACUGCUGCUAGAAGCAAUGAUCACAGGAACAAUGAGUUUCUUCAAAAGAAAAAAACAGGGCUCACAUCACAAGGGUCUAAGGAGUUCCAGAAUCGGCCUGCAAUUGAACUGACUUCUUCCAAGUACUACUCCACUGAAUAAUGGGGAAAAGGACAUUAAACACAAUACAGAGACUUCAUUGUGUCCUGGACGUUCUCUGAAGAUAACGGGAGCAACGACCUCAGCAGUACCCAGAAAACAAAUUAUUGGGAAGAAAACAUAGAGAACCAGAGUGAGAACCUGUGUUCACUGAGGGAAUUGUAUCUGCACAUGAGAGGCUGAGGCAGGAGGAUCAUUCGUUUGAGAUGAGCUUUAAUUCCACAAGGAGUUAAGUGCCAGCCUGGACUACAAAGAAAGAGUCUCUGUAUCAAGAAAUGAGAAUAAUUAAUGAAUUCCAGUAGCACCCUUUCCAUUUCUUCAAGUUGAUGUUAAGGGGGCAGUGUUGUUAUAAUAAACUGCUUUUUGUUUUUCUUUUCCUGCCAUGGGA